This 468-nucleotide ribosomal RNA is filed under the name uncultured bacterium. RNAcentral describes it as "partial 16S ribosomal RNA". It matches the Rfam family "Bacterial small subunit ribosomal RNA", at positions 28 to 507 of the family's 1533-position model. The record is from RNAcentral.
GACGAACGCUGGCGGCGUGCUUAACACAUGCAAGUCGAACGGAAAGGCCCUGCUUUUGUGGGGUGCUCGAGUGGCGAACGGGUGAGUAACACGUGAGUAACCUGCCCUUGACUUUGGGAUAACUUCAGGAAACUGGGGCUAAUACCGGAUAGGAGCUCCUGCUGCAUGGUGGGGGUUGGAAAGUUUCGGCGGUUGGGGAUGGACUCGCGGCUUAUCAGCUUGUUGGUGGGGUAGUGGCUUACCAAGGCUUUGACGGGUAGCCGGCCUGAGAGGGUGACCGGCCACAUUGGGACUGAGAUACGGCCCAGACUCCUACGGGAGGCAGCAGUGGGGAAUAUUGCACAAUGGGCGGAAGCCUGAUGCAGCGGCGCCGCGUGCGGGAUGACGGCCUUCGGGUUGUAAACCGCUUUCGCCUGUGACGAGGCGUGAGUGACGGUAAUGGGUAAAGAAGCACCGGCUAACUACGUG